CCAAUUGGAAGCCGACGCACUUGUUCAUUUCUUUAUGUUUUUAAAACACUUUUUGACUACAUUUUUCAGCAAAUUUCCUCCCACAUUCCCUCCCCCAAAUUACAAUUCUCUUUCAGAUUCCCUCCCACAAAUUACACACAUACUCUCUCUCUCUCUCUCAACUCCCUCUCUCACGAUUUGAAGAAACCCUAAGCUUCACCUCACCUUACGGUUGCAAAAACACAGAUUUGCUGAGGAUUGUAAGUAGGUUCAUUGAUGCUUAUCUUCUAAUUUGCCAGAUCUGUAAGUUUUAUCUGUUUUCCAAUGGUAGAGAUUCUCCUUGCGUCGGACAGUCGAAAGUCUUUUUCUGCCUUUGUGAACAAUGUUAUGUAUUACGUUGGUUUGUUUGUUCGUUUGUGAAAUAUAUGCUGGAAUUUUUGUCUCUUAAUUAAGAGUGUGUGUGUGUGUGUGUGUGUUAUUCAUAUAAGAUUUUGUUGUGUUUCCUGAUUUUUCGGUAUUGCUGAUUAUGGAAUUAUAUAAUUGCAUCAAGAGUUGAAGGUGUGCAUAUGAACUGUUUGAUAAAAGUCCUAAGUGAUUGGGUAAGUUAGUUUAACAUCGUUUCAUGGUCAAGUGUUCGAUACAAGUUAUUGAGCUGAAUUACUAUGGGGGUGGGGGUGGAGAGCAGGGCUGGGCAUUUGGUAUUUCUGUUCGAUUUUAAAGAACUUCAGUUUUUUUAUUGUACAUAUCGAAUUUAGUUCAGUUCAGUUUAUUUUUGCUUGUUCUGUUUGGUUCUUCAGUAUGAGCCUGAUAUGCUGGGCUAUUUUCUGCUUAAGAAUGAGCUAUUUUUGGUCAUGUUGAGUAUGGUCUAGUGUUGAACAUGGUUUUCUCAAAAAGUGAUGUCUUUUCUUAUAGUGUUUAUGACAAGGUAGCCAAUGAACUUCAUUAUGUGACAACGCUUUAAUGUCGAUAUUUUGAGGAAAUUAAUUCUUUCUAGAUAUUUGUCUUUGUGCUUUGGCAAUUGUAUUUCACUUGUGCUUUAUGAUCAUGCAAUUCCUGAACGGAAAGUGAUGAUGUUUGCAUUCUAAAUCUUUCUAACACUUUGUUCAUAUUGAUAAGGUUAUAUGAAGAGUGCUGACAGAUAUAGGAAGGAUUGGCAAGUCGAAAGGAGUUUUAAUUGCUAAUUUAAGUCACAGAGUAUAAAACUUGACUAGGGUGCUGUUCAAGUUGAUGUUACAGUCUGCUUGUUUCCUAGAUGUCAAGUUCGACUACUUGUUUAGUUAGAUCGCGCAUUAUAUGGCCAUAGAGCAACAGUCAAACACCGUCAUCCUACAAUAUCUUUUCCCAUAUAAAUAAUUUUAUGCUUGUACAUCUCCACCCUCCUUUGUCACAUAGUUAAAAGAAGAAUCUUCUUAAGGACUAAGGGAAAAAAUAUUAGUAGAGCUCAGGAUGAGGAUUGCCCACAAAUCCCAUGAUAUUAUGUCUUCUGAGAACGAGGGGUAUGGUCUGGUUUGUCAAUCUGGUUGCUUUAAUAGCAAUAUUAAUUUUGCGUCCAUCACAAGAUUUAGCUGCAUGAUGUAAAGUAACAGGUAAAAACAUGUAUCAGCUUUGAUUAUCAGUAACUUCUCAGUAUAACUGCUAAGCAUUUAUAUUAACUGUUCAAAAAUAUUGCAGUUACAGUGAGUGAAGUCGAAGCAUUGUUUAUUCAAAAGAAUAAGCAGCUGCAUAAUUGAUGAUGGCCUCAUUCAUAAGGAAGAGUUUCAGCUAGCGCUCUUCAGGAACCAAAAAAAGAGGAAUCUGUUUGCAGAUAGGAUAUUUGAUCUUUUUGAUAUUAAGCGCAAUGGAGUAAUUGAGUUUGAAGAAUUUCUCCGAUCACUGGGUAUCUUCCACCCUAAUGCACCAGUAGCUGAUAAAAUGGCAUGUGGGAAAUUAACUUUGGUGGCUUUUAUACUAUCCAUAUGGUGCCUUUCACUUAGUUCUCAUUUUUUCACUUUUAGUCUUCUAAUGAAAUGCAUUAUACAUGCCUCUUUGUUGACAUUGAUCCCUCUAGCUUAAUAUCUUCUGCUAUUAAGUUAUGUAUGCAAAAUUAAUAUUGCUAUUUUUCUUUCGUGUAGCAGAAAAUUGAAGGAUAUAGAACACCCUGCUCAUGUUUGAGGAUAUGACAUGGGUGCAAUUUUAACUGUAGUGUUCAACUAAAACUUUAACGCGACUUAGUCUUAGUUGAUAUCUCGGAGGAGUUGGCUAGCUUAUUUCCACGGGUAUAAGUACUAAUCUUUUCUUGUUUGCUUUUCUGUCAGAGCUUGAAAUAAGACAUUAUUCAUACGGUGGUUUCCAGUUGGAUCAUACUUUGAAAAUACUCUCGUCUUAGGGAUGUAAGACUUUUUAUAAUUGUCCAAAAUUAAAUCUAUACACACACAGGUAAUAUAUAUACUCUUGACUCUGUGAGCUCUUCGUAUGAUUGUUAAGGAGAACUAAUGUUGAAGGAUCUGAUAGUGCAUCAGUUAACUGAUUUUAUAUACUUUUAGAAGCUGCAUGGCAUAUACUGAUAGAGGAGAUGAACGAUUAUGUUCCUCUUUCUCUCUUUCUUGCAAGGUACGAUAAUGGGUGGGUGAUAGAUUGAGGCGUGGGGUGAGGGGAGGGAUCAAAGUAAUAUACAUAUUGUAGUCAUAACAGGAAGCGUGUCUCCUUCUCUUUCAGAGAUUGUCAUUCUGUUAUAGAUAGAUCAUGGAGUGAACUAUAUAUUCAUCACUUGCUUUCUGAAGCUAUUUGACUUCUAUUUUCCUUUUCUUAUUGAUGACAAUGUUUUAGUCAUUGUGAUCUCUCAAUAUUUUUUCUGUAAUAGUUAUUGAUUGUCUCUUUCUUUUUCUUCUUUUUUGUUGCAGGCACCAGAUUUAGGAAAUGGUGCUCCGUUACCAACUGGUCCAGGAAUAUCUUUGGAAGAAAGUAACAGUGCUGAUUCAGCGAGUGCCGAUUAGUAAUCAUGUUAGGAUUAGCUAUGACUCUCUUGAGUAUUGUUAUGUUGAAUUACUCUUUGAAACUUCAAUACAACGAUAAUGUAAUUUUGGAGUAUUUGUAUUUUAAUUUGUUUGAUAAAUAUUUUGCUUAUUUAGUCCUUUAUAUUGUGUUGCAA
This is a long non-coding RNA of Nicotiana tabacum (common tobacco), 3106 nucleotides long. RefSeq lists it as uncharacterized. Lineage: Eukaryota; Viridiplantae; Streptophyta; Magnoliopsida; Solanales; Solanaceae. The record is from RefSeq and is a predicted model, not a curated record.